UACCCUCCAAAUUUUAAAUCAUUAUGAUUUGUAAAAAUAAAAAUAAAAAUUGAAAUACUACCAGACAAUUGUGACCGUGCGAUGAACUUUGGACGGUGAUGAGCACAUGCGAAAUCAUUGUUCAUUUCACCUAUAUAUAUAGAAUAGUGAUCUAAUGUAACGAUUGCAUCAUAGUAUAAUGCAACCACACUUCUAGAAAACCAUGUUUGUGAUAUUUAUAAGACCCAAAAUUUUGCACACACAUUAUUUUCAUGUCAAUAAUCAAUAUUCAAUAAAAAAAUAAUAAUUUGAAUCAUAGAUAUGGUCAAAAUGUAUCCCCACCAACAACGUAUCUAGAUCAUUCAUUUGGUGAAUUUU
RNAcentral lists this long non-coding RNA (357 nucleotides) under Amborella trichopoda. Its description in RNAcentral is "long non-coding RNA (ATRI_LNC004019)". Lineage: Eukaryota; Viridiplantae; Streptophyta; Magnoliopsida; Amborellales; Amborellaceae. The record is from RNAcentral.